RNAcentral lists this ribosomal RNA (236 nucleotides) under uncultured bacterium. RNAcentral describes it as "partial 16S ribosomal RNA". It matches the Rfam family "Bacterial small subunit ribosomal RNA", at positions 15 to 229 of the family's 1533-position model. The record is from RNAcentral.
GAUCCUGGCUCAGGACGAACGCUGGCGGCGCGCCUAACACAUGCAAGUCGAACGGAGAACGCGGGACUGAAGCCUUCGGGCAGAUGACUUGUAUUCUUAGUGGCGGACGGGUGAGUAACACGUGAGCAACCUGCCUUCAAGGGGGGGGAUAGCACCUGGAAACGGGUGGUAAUACCGCAUAAGACCACAGUGCCGCAUGGCACAGAGGUCAAAGGAGCAAUCCGCUUGAAGAUGGG